Oreochromis aureus is the source of this 809-nucleotide long non-coding RNA. RefSeq lists it as uncharacterized. The record is from RefSeq and is a predicted model, not a curated record. NCBI's taxonomy places the organism in Eukaryota, Metazoa, Chordata, Actinopteri, Cichliformes, Cichlidae. The transcript has 3 exons.
AAAUUUAGAGACUGCUAAAACAAUCUUAUCCAGUUUUGAGCUUGCUCAUGUAGGUUAGCCUGCUUUAUUUAAUUUUGUGUGAGCUGCAGUACACAACAUUAAAAAGUUAAUAUAACAUUAGGUUGGUGGCCCGAGGAACUCCAACCUAAGUUUAAUAUUUAUUAUUUUAUAAGUGGGAAGGGGAGCAUGUUUUUUUUCCUUUAAUACAACGUCUUCCAGGGUCUUUUUCAUAGGAAAACCAUGUAACGUCUGUGUUAGGUUGGUCAAAAGAGCAAUUAGUUGAAUUAUUCUGGAAAAGAUGGGUUGUGUGUUUUUUUUUUCUUUUAUUUACUUAUGUAAAUAUAUUUUUCAAGGGUUAAAUAAAUGCAACAUUAAAUUAACAAUUGUCUCUCUGUCUUUUCCCGCCCAGUGUGGUGCAUUGCUGUCCUCCUGCCCUUGCUGGCCGCGCUGACAGUGUGAUGUAGCCUCAGUUCUUUGAGAGACAAGACAAAACAGCAGGGAAUAAUUUCAUGUCUGCAAGCCGCUGGAUGAUCAGUUUGGAGGGCAAGGUAUUGAGCCUGAGCAGAUGCAUGACUUUGGCAGCACCUUUGCUGUCUUCUUUGCGUCAUACUACGUUUUCAACCUUGAGUAUCAGGAGUCAGCGUCCAUCACACUGGAGAUGAUACAGAGGUUCUUUGUGAGGAUCAAUCCAGACAUGGGAACAAAAUGCCCUGCAAAACUUGGUACAAGCCGCAAGACAGGUCGUGUCGUAAAGAGGAAGGUUACAAGCAUCAGCCCUCGGAUCACCACCUUCCUCCAGCGGCUCUCUG